RNAcentral lists this ribosomal RNA (271 nucleotides) under uncultured Eubacteriales bacterium. Its description in RNAcentral is "uncultured Clostridiales bacterium partial 16S ribosomal RNA". It matches the Rfam family "Bacterial small subunit ribosomal RNA", at positions 48 to 339 of the family's 1533-position model. Lineage: Bacteria; Bacillati; Bacillota; Clostridia; Eubacteriales. The record is from RNAcentral.
UUUUCGGAUGGAAGCUGGAUUGACUGAGUGGCGGACGGGUGAGUAACGCGUGGGUAACCUGCCUCACACUGGGGGACAACAGUUAGAAAUGACUGCUAAUACCGCAUAAGCGCACAGGACCGCAUGGUCCGGUGUGAAAAACUCCGGUGGUGUGAGAUGGACCCGCGUCUGAUUAGCUAGUUGGCAGGGCAACGGCCUACCAAGGCGACGAUCAGUAGCCGACCUGAGAGGUUGAACGGCCACAUUGGGACUGAGAUACGGCCCAGACUCC